UACGUAGGGAGCAAGCGUUGUCCGGAAUCAUUGGGCGUAAAGAGCGCGUAGGCGGUCCGGUAAGUCGGUUGUGAAAACUGGGGGCUCAACCCUCAGAGGCUGACCGAUACUGCCGGGCUAGAGUCCGGAAGAGGCGAGUGGAAUUCCUGGUGUAGCGGUGAAAUGCGCAGAUAUCAGGAGGAACACCAAUGGCGAAGGCAGCUCGCUGGGACGGUACUGACGCUGAGGCGCGAAAGCGUGGGGAGCAAACAGG
This 253-nucleotide ribosomal RNA is filed under the name uncultured bacterium. Its description in RNAcentral is "partial 16S ribosomal RNA". It matches the Rfam family "Bacterial small subunit ribosomal RNA", at positions 524 to 776 of the family's 1533-position model. The record is from RNAcentral.